RNAcentral lists this non-coding RNA (45 nucleotides) under Schistosoma mansoni. The record is from RNAcentral. Lineage: Eukaryota; Metazoa; Platyhelminthes; Trematoda; Strigeidida; Schistosomatidae.
AUCCAGUUGACGAGUCCCAAAUAGAACGAAAAGGACGUCCUGGAC